ACACGCAUGACACACUGCAUAUCAAUAAGCGGAGGAAAAGAAACUAACAAGGAUUCCCUUAGUAACGGCGAGUGAAGCGGGAAGAGCUCAAAUUUGAAAUCUUCAAGGUUCUACCUUGACGAAUUGUAGUUUAUAGAAGUGUUUUCUGUUAGUAGAGUGGCAAAAGUUCUUUGGAAUAGGACAUCAUAGAGGGUGAGAAUCCCGUAUUUGACCGUUACUUUCCAGCUGUGUGAUACACUUUCAAAGAGUCGGAUUGUUUGGGAAUGCAGUCCAAGAUGGGUGGUAAAUUUCAUCUAAAGCUAAAUAUUGGCGAGAGACCGAUAGCGAACAAGUACCGUGAGGGAAAGAUGAAAAGAACUUUGAAAAGAGAGUUAAACAGUACGUGAAAUUGUCAAAAAGGAAGCGUUUGACACCAGUGUUGUUUAGUUGAAAAUCAAUUAAAUAGUUUUUCGAUUUAAGUAGUAUUGACCUUAUCAGCUUGCUGCUUUCUUCUCAGAAAUUAUUGAAUGCACUUUUCAGUUAACAAGUCAACAUCAGUUUCUUUUGUUGUAAAAGGGUAAGAGGAAGGUGGCAUGCGCUUCGGCUCAAGUGUUUAUAGCCUUUUAUCCUCUGCAAUCGGAGAGAUUGAGGUCUGCAGCGUAGAUCCUUCGGGGUUAGAUACAUUGGUGCUAAGCUAUAGCCUUGUAUAGACAACUUGUUGACUAUGCUCAGUCAUGUAGCUUACUCGCUGAUGCUAUUUUACCUACGCUUAGGAUGUUGAGCGCAUGUCUCUCUCU
Molecule: ribosomal RNA, 776 nt
Filed under: uncultured Neocallimastigales
Lineage: Eukaryota; Fungi; Neocallimastigomycota; Neocallimastigomycetes; Neocallimastigales
Description: partial large subunit ribosomal RNA
Rfam family: Eukaryotic large subunit ribosomal RNA
Source: RNAcentral